This 72-nucleotide transfer RNA is filed under the name Phakopsora pachyrhizi. Its description in RNAcentral is "tRNA-Gln". It matches the Rfam family "tRNA". From Rfam's summary of the family: Transfer RNA (tRNA) molecules are approximately 80 nucleotides in length. Their secondary structure includes four short double-helical elements and three loops (D, anti-codon, and T loops). Further hydrogen bonds mediate the characteristic L-shaped molecular structure. tRNAs have two regions of fundamental functional importance: the anti-codon, which is responsible for specific mRNA codon recognition, and the 3' end, to which the tRNAs corresponding amino acid is attached (by aminoacyl-tRNA synthetases). tRNAs cope with the degeneracy of the genetic code in two manners: having more than one tRNA (with a specific anti-codon) for a particular amino acid; and 'wobble' base-pairing, i.e. permitting non-standard base-pairing at the 3rd anti-codon position. The record is from RNAcentral. Lineage: Eukaryota; Fungi; Basidiomycota; Pucciniomycetes; Pucciniales; Phakopsoraceae.
UGCGUGAUAGAAUAAUGGGAAUUCACAUGAAUUUGGGUCUUGCAGAUCUCAGUUCGAUUCUGGGUCACGCAU